Cygnus atratus (black swan) is the source of this 448-nucleotide long non-coding RNA. RefSeq lists it as uncharacterized. Lineage: Eukaryota; Metazoa; Chordata; Aves; Anseriformes; Anatidae. The transcript has 4 exons. The record is from RefSeq and is a predicted model, not a curated record.
CUCAAGCAUUUAUAUAGAAUUUACAGAAAGGGGCCUUAUCCUUGGUUGCUGUUCACCGCCCCAACUCUCUCAGCGUGUCUUCAUAGGAGAGGUGUUCCAGCCCUCUGAUCAUCCUUGUGUCCCUCCUCUGGACCCAUUCUAAUAGUACAGUGUCUUCAGUGCAGCAAUAUCCGUGAAGUGACAGGACUACUGAAACACAAGUAUAAAGGAUAGAAACAGGAGGUUGUAAUCUUCUUACCAGUCUUCAUUUCAUGGGCAUUCUAUUUUCAAGGAAAUCACUUUGUGAAGGACCUUUAAAGGGGUACAUGCCACAUCCCCUGCAUUUGUAACUUUUUUUGACAAUAUGUCCUCCCCUGCCCUUAGAGUUUCAAAUGGGGUAUUAUCACCACUAGUAAAACUGACAACAGAUCUUCACUCAGAAUACGGUAAUCUCUUCCUAUAUCAUCAC